AACGAACGCUGGCGGCAUGCCUAACACAUGCAAGUCGAACGAGACCUUCGGGUCUAGUGGCGCACGGGUGCGUAACGCGUGGGAACCUGCCCUUAGGUUCGGAAUAACUCCCCGAAAGGGGUGCUAAUACCGGAUAAUGUCUUCGGACCAAAGAUUUAUCGCCUUUGGAUGGGCCCGCGUUGGAUUAGCUAGUUGGUAGGGUAAAAGCCUACCAAGGCGACGAUCCAUAGCUGGUCCGAGAGGAUGAUCAGCCACACUGGGACUGAGACACGGCCCAGACUCCUACGGGAGGCAGCAGUGGGGAAUAUUGGACAAUGGGCGAAAGCCUGAUCCAGCAAUGCCGCGUGAGUGAUGAAGGCCUUAGGGUUGUAAAGCUCUUUUACCCGGGAUGAUAAUGACAGUACCGGGAGAAUAAGCUCCGGCCAACUCCGUG
Molecule: ribosomal RNA, 433 nt
Filed under: uncultured bacterium
Lineage: Bacteria
Description: partial 16S ribosomal RNA
Rfam family: Bacterial small subunit ribosomal RNA
Source: RNAcentral